UUCAGCGCACAGCUCAGUAGCACGUGGCUAACCUGCCCUUGGGACGGAGGCACCCCCGGGAAACUGGGGCUAAUCUCCGAUAGGUGAAGACUUCUGGAAUGGGUUUUUGCCUAAAGGGCGCUUAGGGCAUGCUUCUAAGCGUUGCCCAAGGAUGGGGCCGCGGCCGAUCAGGUUGUUGGUGAGGUAACGGCUCACCAAGCCUUUAACCGGUGCGGGCCGUGGGAGCGGAAGCCCGGAGAUGGGCACUGAGACAAGGGCCCAGGCCCUACGGGGCGCAGCAGUCGCGAAAACUUCGCAAUAAGCGAAAGCUUGACGGGGCUAUCCCGAGUGCCAUCCGCUGAGGACGGCUUUUCCCAGUAUAGAUAGCUGGGGGAAUAAGGAGAGGGCAAGUCUGGUGUCAGCCACCGCGGUAAUACCAGCUCUCCGAGUGGUGUGGAUGAUUAUUGGGCCUAAAGCAUCCGUAGCCGGCUGGGUAAGUCCCCUGUUAAACCCAGCGAUUCAAUCGUUGGUCUGCGGGGGAUACUGCUCGGCUAGGGGGCGAGAGAGGUCGUCGGUAUUCCCGGGGUAGGGGUGAAAUCCUAUAAUCCCAGGAGGACCACCAGUGGCGAAGGCUGUCGGCUAGAACGCGCUCGACGGUGAGGGAUGAAAGCUGGGGGAGCGAACCGGAUUAGAUACCCGGGUAGUCCCAGCUGUAAACGAUGCAGGCUAGGUGUUAGGGCGGCUACGUGCCGCUCUAGUGCCGCAGGGAAGCUGUUAAGNUGCCGCUUGGGGAAACGCCGGCAAGGCUGAACUUAAAGGCCA
RNAcentral lists this ribosomal RNA (801 nucleotides) under uncultured soil archaeon. RNAcentral's name for it is "bacterial SSU rRNA". It matches the Rfam family "Archaeal small subunit ribosomal RNA", at positions 77 to 865 of the family's 1478-position model. The record is from RNAcentral.